This 71-nucleotide transfer RNA is filed under the name Coemansia sp. RSA 2399. RNAcentral's name for it is "tRNA-Gly". It matches the Rfam family "tRNA". From Rfam's summary of the family: Transfer RNA (tRNA) molecules are approximately 80 nucleotides in length. Their secondary structure includes four short double-helical elements and three loops (D, anti-codon, and T loops). Further hydrogen bonds mediate the characteristic L-shaped molecular structure. tRNAs have two regions of fundamental functional importance: the anti-codon, which is responsible for specific mRNA codon recognition, and the 3' end, to which the tRNAs corresponding amino acid is attached (by aminoacyl-tRNA synthetases). tRNAs cope with the degeneracy of the genetic code in two manners: having more than one tRNA (with a specific anti-codon) for a particular amino acid; and 'wobble' base-pairing, i.e. permitting non-standard base-pairing at the 3rd anti-codon position. RNAcentral also lists the same sequence under 1 other name. The record is from RNAcentral. Lineage: Eukaryota; Fungi; Kickxellomycota; Kickxellomycetes; Kickxellales; Kickxellaceae.
GCGCCGAUAGUUUAGAGGUAAAAUUGGUGCUUCCCAAGCACUCGUCCCGGGUUCGAUUCCCGGUCGGCGCA